RNAcentral lists this ribosomal RNA (513 nucleotides) under uncultured bacterium. Its description in RNAcentral is "bacterial SSU rRNA". It matches the Rfam family "Bacterial small subunit ribosomal RNA", at positions 28 to 534 of the family's 1533-position model. The record is from RNAcentral.
GAUGAACGCUAGCGGGAGGCUUAACACAUGCAAGUCGAGGGGCAGCAUAGGGUAGCAAUACUCUGAUGGCGACCGGCAAACGGGUGAGUAACGCGUAUGCAACCUACCCUGUACAGGGGGAUAACCCGGAGAAAUUCGGACUAAUAUCCCGUAAUAAUAUCCGGAGGCAUCUUUGGAUAUUUAAAGUUCCGACGGUACGGGAUGGGCAUGCGUAACAUUAACUGGUUGGUAAGGUAACGGCUUACCAAGGCUAUGAUGUUUAGGGGUCCUGAGAGGGUGGUCCCCCACACUGGUACUGAGACACGGACCAGACUCCUACGGGAGGCAGCAGUGAGGAAUAUUGGCCAAUGGGCGCAAGCCUGAACCAGCCAUCCCGCGUGCAGGAAGACGGCCCUAUGGGUUGUAAACUGCUUUUCCAGGGAGAGAAACUUACGCACGUGUUGCGUGACUGACGGUACCCUGGGAAUAAGCAUCGGCUAACUCCGUGCCAGCAGCCGCGGUAAAACGUGCGUG